GACAGAGGAGGCAAGCGUUGUUCGGAAUCAUUGGGCUUAAAGCGCGCGUAGGCGGCCUUGUAAGUGUCUUGUGAAAUCCCACGGCUCACCCGUGGAACUGCAGGGCAAACUGCAAGACUUGAGGUCGGUAGAGGCGCCUGGAACUCUAGGUGGAGCGGUGAAAUGCGUAGAUAUCUAGGGGAACGCCGGAGGCGAAAGCGGGGCGCUGGGCCUAUUAUGACGGUGAUGCGCGAAAGCGUGGGGAGCAAUCAGG
This 253-nucleotide ribosomal RNA is filed under the name uncultured bacterium. RNAcentral's name for it is "partial 16S ribosomal RNA". It matches the Rfam family "Bacterial small subunit ribosomal RNA", at positions 524 to 776 of the family's 1533-position model. The record is from RNAcentral.